UGAUGUGAGGGUGAUCUGGCUGCGACAUCUAUCACCCCAGUGAUCGCCAGGGUUGAUUUGGCUGAUCUGGCUGGCUAGGCGGGUGUCCCCUUCCUCCCCCACCGUUCCAUGUGCGUCCCUCCUGAAGCUGCGCGCUCGGUUGAAGAGGACGGCCUUCCCCAAAUAGAAAGGGAGAGACCUGCAGGCCUG
This 189-nucleotide small nuclear RNA is filed under the name Erinaceus europaeus (western European hedgehog). RNAcentral's name for it is "7SK RNA". It matches the Rfam family "7SK RNA", at positions 1 to 188 of the family's 331-position model. From Rfam's summary of the family: 7SK was discovered as an abundant small nuclear RNA in the mid-70s but a possible function has only recently been suggested. Two independent studies have found that 7SK RNA binds the CDK9/cyclin T complex (known as elongation factor P-TEFb). P-TEFb activates transcription by phosphorylating the C-terminal domain of RNA polymerase II. The record is from Rfam by way of RNAcentral. Lineage: Eukaryota; Metazoa; Chordata; Mammalia; Eulipotyphla; Erinaceidae.